UAAAUUGUUAAAGGGGAGUAGCUACCUUACUUUUAGUAAGGAGAUAAAAUCAACAUCUUGAUCAAUUGAUCUGGUUUUAUCAUAACUAUAUUUUAUCUAGUUA
Molecule: small RNA, 103 nt
Filed under: Acetohalobium arabaticum
Lineage: Bacteria; Bacillati; Bacillota; Clostridia; Halanaerobiales; Halobacteroidaceae
Also listed under: 1 other name
Description: Manganese sequence
Rfam family: Manganese Mn2+ riboswitch aptamer (yybP-ykoY)
About the family: This RNA was originally discovered in E. coli during a large scale screen and was named SraF.
Source: RNAcentral